UUCUGACGCUGAGGCACGAAAGCGCGGGACCGAACGGGAUUAGAUACCCCGGUAGUCCACGCCCUAAACUAUGUGCACUAGAUUGUGGGGGUUUUGACGCCCGCACAAUCGAAGCUAAAGUGAUUAGUGCACCGCCUGGGGAGUACGGUCGCAAGGCUAAAACUCAAAGGAAUUGACGGGGGCUCACACAAGCGGUGGAGCAUGUGGCUUAAUUCGAAGCUACGCGAAGAACCUUAUCCAGGGUUUGACAUGUACGGAUUAGCUCGGUGAAAGUCGAGUGACGCUCUUUGAGUGGAACGUACACAGGUGCUGCAUGGCUGUCGUCAGCUCGUGCUGUGAAGUGUCGGGUUAAGUCCCUUAACGAGCGAAACCCCUACCACUAGUUACCAGCGGACCUUCGGCUGCCGGGGACUCUAGCGGGACUGCCGNUCUCCCACCGGACGCAAGGUGGGGACGACGUCAAGUCCUCAUGGCCUUUAUGCCCUGGGCUGCACACGUGCUACAAUGGUAACUACAGAGCGAAGCGAUACCGCAAGCUGGAGCAAAUCGCAAAAAAGUGCACCCAGUUCGGAUUGUGGUCUGCAACUCGACCACAUGAAGUUGGAAUCGCUAGUAAUCGCGCAUCACCAAUGACGCGCUGNAUACGUUCAUGAGCAUUGUACACACCGCCCGUCAAGUCAUGAAGCCGGGAG
RNAcentral lists this ribosomal RNA (692 nucleotides) under uncultured organism. Its description in RNAcentral is "bacterial SSU rRNA". It matches the Rfam family "Bacterial small subunit ribosomal RNA", at positions 738 to 1417 of the family's 1533-position model. The record is from RNAcentral.